GAUGAACGCUGGCGGCGUGCUUAACACAUGCAAGUCGAGCGCACCUUCGGGUGAGCGGCGGACGGGUUAGUAACGCGUGGGAACGUACCCUUUUCUACGGAAUAGCCUUUGGAAACGAAGAGUAAUACCGUAUACGCCCUUUGGGGGAAAGAUUUAUCGGAGAAGGAUCGGCCCGCGUUAGAUUAGAUAGUUGGUGGGGUAACGGCCUACCAAGUCUACGAUCUAUAGCUGGUUUUAGAGGAUGAUCAGCAACACUGGGACUGAGACACGGCCCAGACUCCUACGGGAGGCAGCAGUGGGGAAUCUUAGACAAUGGGCGCAAGCCUGAUCUAGCCAUGCCGCGUGAGUGAUGAAGGCCUUAGGGUCGUAAAGCUCUUUCGCCUGUGAUGAUAAUGACAGUAGCAGGUAAAGAAACCCCGGCUAACUCCG
This 429-nucleotide ribosomal RNA is filed under the name uncultured Paracoccaceae bacterium. RNAcentral's name for it is "bacterial SSU rRNA". It matches the Rfam family "Bacterial small subunit ribosomal RNA", at positions 28 to 505 of the family's 1533-position model. The record is from RNAcentral. Lineage: Bacteria; Pseudomonadati; Pseudomonadota; Alphaproteobacteria; Rhodobacterales; Paracoccaceae.